GUCCCCUUCGUCUGAGGCCCGAGGACACCCACGCCCUUUCACGGCGGUAACAGGGUUCGAAUCCCCUAGGGGACGCCA
Molecule: transfer RNA, 78 nt
Filed under: Escherichia coli
Lineage: Bacteria; Pseudomonadati; Pseudomonadota; Gammaproteobacteria; Enterobacterales; Enterobacteriaceae
Description: tRNA-Glu
Source: RNAcentral